UGCUGAAAGUCCCAGAGGUGAAUUACACAAUCAGAUUCUGAGGCAGUGACAGACUUUGUUUUCCUUCAAAUUUCUACUUCCUGAAACCAAGGCUCUUUAUGAUAAACAGUGUAUUUCAGGGAAAUUGUGCUAAAAUUAACCUUUUUCAGAGAUUUGCUGGCCUUAAAAGUGUUUAUCUUCGAGACAAAGUUUUAGUUACUUACAGUCAACCACUGCCAGAAGCAGAUGAUCUUCUUUAUGACGCUUCCUCACACGCCUGAGUCAUUCACCUCACUUCAUCUCAUCACAUAGACGUUUUAUUGUCUCACAUCAUCACAAGAAGAACAUUGUGAAAAAGCCUAGUAAUUCACCCAACAUGAUAGAUGGAUGACCUUUUGCUGCAUUAUAAAAGGGUCACUGUCCCCAAAGCGCCUCUCAGCUUGUGGAUCAGGUAAAGGAACAUCUCUUAAACUUUUGUGGUGCCUCUGCCCUGUCAGUUAUCACAAGGCUGUAAUUAUUGCCUAAACAUUGGCCUCCCCACAACCAUGUACUUAUGG
Leopardus geoffroyi (Geoffroy's cat) is the source of this 536-nucleotide long non-coding RNA. RefSeq lists it as uncharacterized. The record is from RefSeq and is a predicted model, not a curated record. Lineage: Eukaryota; Metazoa; Chordata; Mammalia; Carnivora; Felidae. The transcript has 3 exons.